GACGAACGCUGGUGGCGUGCUUAACACAUGCAAGUCGAACGGAAAGGCCCUGCUUUUGUGGGGUGCUCGAGUGGCGAACGGGUGAGUAACACGUGAGUAACCUGCCCUUGACUUUGGGAUAACUUCAGGAAACUGGGGCUAAUACCGUAUAGGAGCUCCUGCUGCAUGGAGGGGGGUGGAAAGUUUCGGCGGUUGGGGAUGGACUAGCGGCUUAUCAGCUUGUUGGUGGGGUAGUGGCUUACCAAGGCUUUGACGGGUAGCCGGCCUGAGAGGGUGACCGGCCACAUUGGGACUGAGAUACGGCCCAGACUCCUACGGGAGGCAGCAGUGGGGAAUAUUGCACAAUGGGCGGAAGCCUGAUGCAGCAACGCCGCGUGCGGGAUGACGGCCUUCGGGUUGUAAACCGCUUUCGCCUGUGACGAAGCGUGAGUGACGGUAAUGGGUAAAGAAGCACCGGCUAACUACGUG
Molecule: ribosomal RNA, 468 nt
Filed under: uncultured bacterium
Lineage: Bacteria
Description: partial 16S ribosomal RNA
Rfam family: Bacterial small subunit ribosomal RNA
Source: RNAcentral